AUUGAACGCUGGCGGCAGGCUUAACACAUGCAAGUCGAGCGGGGGAAGGUAGCUUGCUACUGGACCUAGCGGCGGACGGGUGAGUAAUGCUUAGGAAUCUGCCUAUUAGUGGGGGACAACAUCUCGAAAGGGAUGCUAAUACCGCAUACGUCCUACGGGAGAAAGCAGGGGAUCUUCGGACCUUGCGCUAAUAGAUGAGCCUAAGUCGGAUUAGCUAGUUGGUGGGGUAAAGGCCUACCAAGGCGACGAUCUGUAGCGGGUCUGAGAGGAUGAUCCGCCACACUGGGACUGAGACACGGCCCAGACUCCUACGGGAGGCAGCAGUGGGGAAUAUUGGACAACGGGGGGAACCCUGAUCCAGCCAUGCCGCGUGUGUUAAGAAGGCCUUAUGGUUGUAAAGCACUUUAAGCGAGGAGGAGGCUACUUUAGUUAAUACCUAGAGAUAGUGGACGUUACUCGCAGAAUAAGCCCGGCUAACUCUGUGCCAGCAGCCGCCGCGG
RNAcentral lists this ribosomal RNA (500 nucleotides) under uncultured bacterium. Its description in RNAcentral is "partial 16S ribosomal RNA". It matches the Rfam family "Bacterial small subunit ribosomal RNA", at positions 30 to 523 of the family's 1533-position model. The record is from RNAcentral.